Molecule: transfer RNA, 71 nt
Filed under: Ornithorhynchus anatinus (platypus)
Lineage: Eukaryota; Metazoa; Chordata; Mammalia; Monotremata; Ornithorhynchidae
Rfam family: tRNA
About the family: Transfer RNA (tRNA) molecules are approximately 80 nucleotides in length. Their secondary structure includes four short double-helical elements and three loops (D, anti-codon, and T loops). Further hydrogen bonds mediate the characteristic L-shaped molecular structure. tRNAs have two regions of fundamental functional importance: the anti-codon, which is responsible for specific mRNA codon recognition, and the 3' end, to which the tRNAs corresponding amino acid is attached (by aminoacyl-tRNA synthetases). tRNAs cope with the degeneracy of the genetic code in two manners: having more than one tRNA (with a specific anti-codon) for a particular amino acid; and 'wobble' base-pairing, i.e. permitting non-standard base-pairing at the 3rd anti-codon position.
Source: Rfam by way of RNAcentral
AGCAGCGUGGCUCAGGGGAAAGAGCACGGGCUUGGGAGCCAGAGUCAUGGGUUCAAAUCCUGACUCUGCCA